UUCAUCGGGCCCAGAGCUUAAGAAUCACCCUUCCUUGGCUCUUCCUUUCCCUCACCCUCCACACACAGUCUUCCAGCAAGUACUGACAACGCAUCACCAAAAUAUUUUUUUUAAGGAAGUGAACUUAGGGAAAAGGAAUGAACAAUGGGGGACAGGGAUGGAAAAACAAUGAAGAUGGAAGAUAAGGAUCCUUUCUGAGUUGACCACCAUUACAAGAAACUGGUUGCUUGAGUAGGACCUUCUGAGAUGCUUUAUAGAAUGUAACCGAGACCCUUCUGUCCAGGGAAAGAAAGGAGUAAGCAUUUAUUCACCAGCCCCCAUCCUCCUUUCCUGGCUAUUCACGUGUUGGAGCUGAGCCCAUUCCUGUGGGUACCCCAAGCCAGAAGGAGUUGAGGAAGUCUGGAACAGGAACCCCACUAUGGCAGGGGCUGGAAUAGGAAGUAAGCCCAAGAGGAUCUCAAGCUGUAUGAACAGUGUUUGCCAAAAUGCUCCAGGGAGCAGACUGUGUGUAUCUCUUCCCAACUCCGCUGAUCAGUGAUGUCACAUCGGUAGCUUGAAAUUGGCCCAGUGAGAAUAUUUACACCUUGGCAAUCGGCAAAAGCUACAAAUCAGGCUUCCUCCCUCCUCCCACCACACCAGCUGUUGAACAUUUCCUAGCAUAGCACUGAUGACAAGGUUCUGUUUUGCAGACCGCUUCAGCUUACCCCCUUCAGCUCCUCCUCAGAACUGCAGCCACAUUUGUUCUUUUUACAUUUCUUUAAAAACACAUCUGUGCUUCUCUCAACUGAAACACUGCAAAUAGUUUUCCUACAGCCUAGAACUCUAAGCAGGAAUUACUACUUGUCUGAGAAAUUCUUUCUCAUUUCUCACACCUUAGCUCAUGACAUUUCUCUAGGGAGCCUCUGCUGACCCCUAGAUCUGAUCCAAUUCAUGAGUUUUAUAAUCUCAAUCUUUAUACAAGUGAUGAUUGAAUUAAUAUCUGUUUUUCCAGGUAGACUACAAGUUCCAUAAGGGAGCCAAUCAUGACCAUUUUUUCUCACUCAUAGAGUUUUGUAUAUUUACUCAAUGUCGGAACAAAAUGCUUUCAAUCAACAGAUAUUAAAAGCACUUUUACCACUCUCCCCAUGAGUGAAGCUGCAAUUGUUUUAGGAGUUUUGAAAGAGUCCUCAUACUUGAAAAUGUAAGGAGCCAUGUGGAGAGCACAAGAUGUUUUUAUGGGUGUGCACAUCUAGCUAUAAUCCAUUGAGUGAAAUCUUGGUCACCUAACUGCAAGGGACAUGAGGAAUGCACUUUAGCUAAGCACCCAGGAAGAGAAGGAUAGAAUAAAUCUGAUGAGCAUCUAGCCACACUCUGCCACAGUCUGCUCUUUCAUAUAUCAAAUAUCCACCCACUCUUAUACUCUGACAGGAAACAAGGAGACAACCCAUAGAUCCACAAAGCAACUGCAUCAGUUCAGAAUCUAGGAUCUCUGGCUGUUUGUACUCUUCCCCAUCAAGCCCAGAUGUGGCUCCUUCUGGUCUAGUAAAAAUGUGUACCAAAUUUACAGACCAUUUUCAUCUUUUCCCCAAAGCACACAACAUCCAGUAAUGGAGUAGGUAUAGGAGAACCUCAAUUAAAACUCCACUAAUGAAAGGGGAAAUGAGAAGAGGCAUAGCAAUCACAAGGCUGAAGAAGUUACAGUAUCCUGCUGCAUCAGCACUGAGAAGUCCCCUGAGCUGGAGAAGUUCUCUGAGUAAACAAGAAUUCUGUUCUGAGAGGCACUCGCUUGUCCAUUUUUUCAGUGGCCUCUGGAUCCACCCUGGGAAGUUUUUUCCUUGCUCCUUGGCCACAUCUUACUAUUAUCCUCCAUGGAGACUAUCUAAGCCUUUGUGAUCCACUUCCAGAUUCUGCAUAAUUGUGCUAGUAAAUCUCUGAAGUGAAGACACCGGAAGACGAUGUAAUUACGGAAACUAUGACAGCAAAGGAGCAACAAGCCAUCUAUUGAUUGUAAUCAUUAAGCUGCAUUCUUCAGAGACUUCACGAAAACUAAGAAGAUAUCCUGAACAAAGAUGUAUGGCCACACGGCUAAGGCCUCCCUCACUUACAUAGAAGAAGUGCCUGUCUGCCAGUGUGUUUGAUUUCACAAGUGUUAAAAAUAAAGUAAAUUAAAAGCACUACCUCCGAGUCAAUGAGACUCAGUUCAGCAUACAUUAGUUAAACACCUAAGUCCUACAUGCUGUUUUGGUGCUAAGUGUGCUGAAAUA
Long non-coding RNA from Sus scrofa (pig), 2243 nucleotides. RefSeq lists it as uncharacterized. The record is from RefSeq and is a predicted model, not a curated record. Lineage: Eukaryota; Metazoa; Chordata; Mammalia; Artiodactyla; Suidae.